RNAcentral lists this non-coding RNA (21 nucleotides) under Caenorhabditis elegans. The record is from RNAcentral. Lineage: Eukaryota; Metazoa; Nematoda; Chromadorea; Rhabditida; Rhabditidae.
UAAAUCAUUGUCAAAUAAUUU